UACGUAGGGUGCGAGCGUUAAUCGGAAUUACUGGGCGUAAAGCGUGCGCAGGCGGGCUUUUAAGACAGACGUGAAAUCCCCGGGCUCAACCUGGGAAUGGCGUUUGGGACUGGAAGUCUGGAGUGCGGCAGAGGAGACUGGAAUUCCUGGUGUAGCAGUGAAAUGCGUAGAUAUCAGGAGGAACACCGAUGGCGAAGGCAGGUCUCUGGGCUGACACUGACGCUCAUGCACGAAAGCGUGGGGAGCAAACAGG
RNAcentral lists this ribosomal RNA (253 nucleotides) under uncultured bacterium. RNAcentral's name for it is "partial 16S ribosomal RNA". It matches the Rfam family "Bacterial small subunit ribosomal RNA", at positions 524 to 776 of the family's 1533-position model. The record is from RNAcentral.